UGGGGAAUCUUGCGCAAUGGGCGGAAGCCUGACGCAGCGACGCCGCGUGCGGGACGAAGGCCUUGGUCGUAAACCGCUUUCAGCAGGGACGAGGCCCUCACGGUGACGGUACCUGCAGAAGAAGCCCCGGCUAACUACGUGCC
Molecule: ribosomal RNA, 143 nt
Filed under: uncultured bacterium
Lineage: Bacteria
Description: partial 16S ribosomal RNA
Rfam family: Bacterial small subunit ribosomal RNA
Source: RNAcentral